Transfer RNA from Phytophthora infestans T30-4, 72 nucleotides. It matches the Rfam family "tRNA". Rfam says of the family: Transfer RNA (tRNA) molecules are approximately 80 nucleotides in length. The record is from Rfam. Lineage: Eukaryota; Oomycota; Peronosporomycetes; Peronosporales; Peronosporaceae.
GCCCUUAUAGCUUAAUGGUAGAGCCUUGGCCUGGAAGGCCAAAGGCCAGUGGAUCGAUCCCCGUCCGGGACA